Molecule: ribosomal RNA, 253 nt
Filed under: uncultured bacterium
Lineage: Bacteria
Description: partial 16S ribosomal RNA
Rfam family: Bacterial small subunit ribosomal RNA
Source: RNAcentral
UACGUAGGGGGCAAGCGUUGUCCGGAUUUAUUGGGCGUAAAGAGCGUGUAGGCGGCCAAGCAGGUCCGCUGUGAAAACUCGAGGCUCAACCUCGAGACGUCGGUGGAAACCGUUUGGCUAGAGUCCGGAAGAGGCGAGUGGAAUCCCCGGUGUAGCGGUGAAAUGCGCAGAUAUCGGGAGGAACACCAAUUGCGAAGGCAGCUCGCUGGGACGUUACUGACGCUGAGACGCGAAAGCGUGGGGAGCAAACAGG